AGUGAACGCUGGCGGUAGGCCUAACACAUGCAAGUCGAACGGCAGCACAGUAAGAGCUUGCUCUUACGGGUGGCGAGUGGCGUACGGGUGAGGUAUACAUCGGAAUCUACUUUUUCGUGGGGGAUAACGUAGGGAAACUUACGCUAAUAUCGCAUACGACCUACGGGUGAAAGCAGGGGAUCUUCGGACCUUGCGCGAUUGAAUGAGCCGAUGUCGGGUUAGCUAGUUGGCGGGGUAAAGGCCCACCAAGGCGACGAUCCGUAGCUGGUGUGAGAGGAUGAUCCGCCACACUGGAACUGAGACACGGUCCAGACGCCUACGGGAGGCAGCAGUGGGGAAUAGUGGACAAUGGGCGCAAGCCUGAUCCAGCCGUACCGCGUGGGUGAAGAAGGCCUUCGGGUUGUAAAGCCCUUUUGUUGGUAAAGAAAAGCAGCAGGUUAAUACCCCGCUGUUCUGACGGUACCCAAAGAAUAAGCACCGGCUAACUUCGUG
RNAcentral lists this ribosomal RNA (492 nucleotides) under uncultured bacterium. RNAcentral describes it as "partial 16S ribosomal RNA". It matches the Rfam family "Bacterial small subunit ribosomal RNA", at positions 29 to 507 of the family's 1533-position model. The record is from RNAcentral.